RNAcentral lists this ribosomal RNA (301 nucleotides) under uncultured bacterium. Its description in RNAcentral is "partial 16S ribosomal RNA". It matches the Rfam family "Bacterial small subunit ribosomal RNA", at positions 509 to 807 of the family's 1533-position model. The record is from RNAcentral.
CAGUAGCCACGGUAAUACGUAGGUGGCAAGCGUUGUCCGGAAUUAUUGGGCGUAAAGGGCUCGCAGGCGGUUUCUUAAGUCUGAUGUGAAAGCCCCCGGCUCAACCGGGGAGGGUCAUUGGAAACUGGGAAACUUGAGUGCAGAAGAGGAGAGUGGAAUUCCACGUGUAGCGGUGAAAUGCGUAGAGAUGUGGAGGAACACCAGUGGCGAAGGCGACUCUCUGGUCUGUAACUGACGCUGAGGAGCGAAAGCGUGGGGAGCGAAUAGGAUUAGAUACCCCCGUAGUCCCUGUCUCUUAUAC